CGAUUUCCUCCUCACUUUCAAUUUCUUUUUCUUUUCAAUCUCAUCUCACUUUCUUCCCUCUAUUCUUUGAGCAGCCGCCACCGUCACCACCAUCGUCAUCCCUCGUGGCCAGCUCAUGACCAGUCGUCGUAGAAUAGUCCUUCGAACUAGAUUUUUUCUCUGAUCGUCGUUGUGCUCGCCACCAUCAUCAGGUAUUUGGAAGAGGUUUUUUUUUUUUAUCCUCCUACAGUAUAUAUGAACGGAGGCAAGUGGUAUUUUUCUUGCCAGUUGGAUUGUAACCAAAGAGCUUGAGACUUGAGAAUGCUUGCAAGUGAAUUAAUACAAAGUGCUGAAAGAAUGCAUAUGGUGGAUCCUCUCUUCCAACAAGUACUUGUGAAAGAAUGUCAAGAUAAAAAGAUUUCUGUCAUUUUUUAUGAGGUUUUUACUGGUUUUUGGCGCUUGGGUACUGAGACUGCUGCGGAGCUACUUCAUUGUUCGCCAUAUAUAGUCUGCUUCGCAAAGCUGAUGACUGGUGGAAUUAUUUCGUUAUCUGCUACAUUAGCUUCAAACUCUGUAUUUGAAUCCUUUAUUGGUGACUCUAAGCUUAAGGUCCUUCUGCAUGGACACUCGUAUACUGCUCAUGUUUUGGGUUGCACGGCUGCUACGAAGUCCAUUAAAUGGUUUAAAGAUCCUCAAACAAACCUGAAUAUCAUUUCUGAAGGGACAUCUCUUAGGGAGGUAUGUGCGAUCUAUUUAAAGUUAUUCUCAAGUGGCUAGUUACACAAGUUUUAAUGAAUUUCUUUGGAUUAUAAAGUUUGGCUCGAAGGGUUUGGAUAAUAUUAUACAUCAAGAAAGAAGUUAGAAAAGAAUGAUAAUUCUGAAGAGAGUUUGUGAUUUCAUAUUAUGUCAUUUUGAAUAAAUAGGCAUUCUCGUUAGUCAUGAUUAAUACUUGCAUUUAAAGUUAUGUUAUACUUAGAAGGUCUUGCUAAAAUAUCUUUCUGUUGGAUCCAUUUGUUUUUUCAAUGCUUACCGUUAUGGGAUGACAAUUUGGUUUAUGAGAUCUCGUCAGAUCCUGCAGUAAAGAGAGUAGUAGCAUUGGGAACUCUCUUUGCUCUAGAACUUCAAGUAGAUGGCUCUAAUGCCGGAUGUCUCCAAUGCACCUGUCUUUGUAAUCAAAGAAUUAAGAAGAUUUUGGACAGCGGAAAAAAGAUAGGAUUUGAACAUUGGGAUCUGGUAGUGAUACUGAAAUGUGCAUUUGAUAGAACUGUGUGGGAUUGAUCAAUACUUUGCAAUGAAGGCAAUGGAAGGGUGUCAUGCUCAACCACAACAAGAAUGAUUGAAGACAUAUCGGGUUGAAAGCGAAACGAUUGUGUAGAUAGCUAGGCUAUUGUUGAAGGUUGAAGACGGAGAAGAUGUUUAGAAUUUUUGUUAAAGUCUUGUAUUAGGAUUUUGUUUCAUGUACUGUUGUAGAAUGUAUAUAUAAAUAUAAUAUUCAGAUUUUAUUUUGUGUAUACAAAUGUAAAAAACAAAUAUUAUAGUUUCUAAAUUAAUUUAAUUUUAUUGA
Cucumis melo (muskmelon) is the source of this 1543-nucleotide RNA transcript. It is a transcript of the gene named bifunctional dethiobiotin synthetase/7,8-diamino-pelargonic acid aminotransferase, mitochondrial-like, with no coding region annotated. NCBI's taxonomy places the organism in Eukaryota, Viridiplantae, Streptophyta, Magnoliopsida, Cucurbitales, Cucurbitaceae. The transcript has 9 exons. The record is from RefSeq and is a predicted model, not a curated record.